AUGAACGCUGGCGGCGUGCCUCAUCCCUGCCAGUCGCGCGAACAGACGAGGAGCUUGCUCCUCUGACGUUAGCGGCGGACGGGUGAGUAACACGUGGAUAACCUACCUAUAAGACUGGGAUAACUUCGGGAAACCGGAGCUAAUACCGGAUAAUAUAUUGAACCGCAUGGUUCAAUAGUGAAAGACGGUUUUGCUGUCACUUAUAGCUGGAUCCGCGCCGCAUUAGCUAGUUGGUAAGGUAACGGCUUACCAAGGCAACGAUGCGUAGCCGACCUGAGAGGGUGAUCGGCCACACUGGAACUGAGACACGGCCCAGACUCCUACGGGAGGCAGCAGUAGGGAAUCUUCCGCAAUGGGCGAAAGCCUGACGAAGCAACGCCGCGUGAGUGAUGAAGGUCUUCGGAUCGUAAAACUCUGUUAUUAGGGAAGAACAAAUGUGUAAGUAACUAUGCACGUCUUGACGGUACCUAAUCAGAAAGCCACGGCUAACUACGUG
This 496-nucleotide ribosomal RNA is filed under the name uncultured bacterium. RNAcentral's name for it is "partial 16S ribosomal RNA". It matches the Rfam family "Bacterial small subunit ribosomal RNA", at positions 29 to 507 of the family's 1533-position model. The record is from RNAcentral.